UUUAUGGAGAGUUUGAUCCUGGCUCAGGAUGAACGCUGGCGGCGUGCCUAAUACAUGCAAGUCGAGCGAACAGAUAAGGAGCUUGCUCCUUUGACGUUAGCGGCGGACGGGUGAGUAACACGUGGGUAACCUACCUAUAAGACUGGAAUAACUCCGGGAAACCGGGGCUAAUGCCGGAUAACAUGUUGAACCGCAUGGUUCUACAGUGAAAGACGGUCUUGCUGUCACUUAUAGAUGGACCCGCGCCGUAUUAGCUAGUUGGUGGGGUAACGGCCUACCAAGGCGACGAUACGUAGCCGACCUGAGAGGGUGAUCGGCCACACUGGAACUGAGACACGGUCCAGACUCCUACGGGAGGCAGCAGUAGGGAAUCUUCCGCAAUGGGCGAAAGCCUGACGGAGCAACGCCGCGUGAGUGAUGAAGGUCUUCGGAUUGUAAAGCUCUGUUGUUAGGGAAGAACAAAUGUGUAAGUAACUGUGCACAUCUUGACGGUACCUAACCAGAAAGCCACGGCUAACUACGUGCCAGCAGCCGCGGUAAUACGUAGGUGGCAAGCGUUAUCCGGAAUUAUUGGGCGUAAAGCG
This 584-nucleotide ribosomal RNA is filed under the name Staphylococcus pseudintermedius. Its description in RNAcentral is "bacterial SSU rRNA". It matches the Rfam family "Bacterial small subunit ribosomal RNA", at positions 1 to 567 of the family's 1533-position model. The record is from RNAcentral. Lineage: Bacteria; Bacillati; Bacillota; Bacilli; Caryophanales; Staphylococcaceae.